Molecule: long non-coding RNA, 6029 nt
Filed under: Sus scrofa (pig)
Lineage: Eukaryota; Metazoa; Chordata; Mammalia; Artiodactyla; Suidae
Description: lncRNA (ENSSSCG00030013233.1)
Source: RNAcentral
GGAGGAUGAAAUGCAGAUACCUGACCUCCUGUGUACCUACCUUUCCCAAUACUAUGUGUUCACCACAGUACACAGUGUCUGGUCACCAGCUUUUGUGUUUGGGCCUGGCCUCCAUAUCCAGAGUGGACCUCAAUGCUAACCAUUCUGUCAGUCUUCAUCUCCCUCACCCACAGACCUUCUGCCAUUCCUACUAGCUACAAAGGACACUGGGAAACAGGAGCACACACAAGCCUGAUAGUUCUACCUUGUUGCUUUGGGUUUUUUUCCCCUUCUUGUUUACAGGUACUGGUAAUCUACAGAGUAAGUCACAAAUUGUUCUCAGAGCUUUAUUUUUUUAAUUAUAGUUUUUUAAUAAUGAUUUUUAUUUUUUUCCAUUAUAGUUGGUUUACAUAUUUCUUCAAUUUCUGUUGUACAGCAAAGUGACCCAAUCACACACAGUUCCUGUGUUGUACAGAAGGGCCCAAUUGCCCAUCCAUUCCAAAUACAACAAUUUGCAUCUGAAAAUUCCAAACUCCUGGUCCUUAUCCAGUCCAUCCCACUCCGUAAGUCUGCUCUCCCUUGACCUUGAUCUGUUUCUGUUUUGGAGAUAGAAAAACUGAUCCCAGAGCUUUAAAUGAAAUGUACGCAGCUCUUCUGCAACGAGCUGUCCUAGUUGCUUGACGGUUCCUCUGCCCUUUCUUUUUAGUUCCCCCUCACAUGCUGCUGAGUCCUAACUCUAAAGUGUCUCAGCUUCAUGCAUAUUCUCUGAGCCUGGCAUUUAUCCUCUGAUUCUAGAGGUAUAUUGAGCCUGCUCCACUGUUGUGAGUGAAGGAAGCUUCUCUUGAGUGUUUCUCAGGAUCUUCACCCAUUUUUCUGCUCUUGUUUUGUAAUCUCAGGGAAAGAGGCAUCCUUCUGCUUUGUCACUGUUCUCCUCAAUCUCAUGUUCUCCUGCUACCCCUGGGAUCUUGCUUUUCUGGUCAUUUCUCAUAUAUAUUUUUUGCUUUUUAGGGCCAUAGAGGUAGCAAAUGGAAGUUCCCAGACUAGAGGUCUAACUGGAGAUACAGCUGCCAGCCUAUGCUACAGCCAUAGCAAUGAGCCGCGUCUAUAGCCUACGCCACAGCUCACAGCAAUGCAGAUCCCUGAUCCACUAAGCAAGGCCAGGAUCAAACCCCCAUCCUCAUGGAUACUAGUUGAAUUUGUUUCCUCUGUGCUACAAUGGGGACUUCCUAUUUAAAAUAUAUAUUAGGGCCACAGAUGUGGCAUAUGGAAGUUCCCAGGCUAGGGGUAAAAUUAGAGCUACAGCUGCUGGUCUACCCCACAGCCCACAGCAAUACCAGAUCCAAGCCCCGUCUGUGACCUACACUGCAGCUUGUGGCAGUGCCGAUCCUUAACCCACUGAGCAGGGCCAGGAAUUGAACCCACAUCCUCAUGGAUACUAGUCAGGUUCAUCACUGCUGAACCACAAUGGGACUGCCUAUAUUUUAUUUCAAUUCGUUUUCCAGAGACAUGAUUGCACACCUCCCUCCAUUUGACAAAUACUCAAGUUGCCAUUAACUAAAAACAAACACACAAACUGAAAAAACAAGUAGUCAAGAUAAUAAGCAACUCCCGCCCCAGAACUCCUUGACCCUGAUACUACUUCUCCAUCUUUCUUUUCUUUUCUUUCUUUUCUUUCUUUCAUCCUUCCUUCCUUUCUUUCUUUCUUUCUUUCUUUCUUUCUUUCUUUCUUUCUUUCUUUUUGCUUUUUAGGGCCUUAAGGGUGGCAUAUAGAAGUUCCCAGGCUAGGGGUCAAAUUGGAGCUAUAACUGCUGGCCUACAGCACAGCCACAGCAAUUCAGGAUCCAAGCCGCAUCUGUGACCUACACCACAGCUCACAGCAAUGCUGGAUCCUUAACCCACCACUGAGCGAGGCCAGGGAUCCAACCUGCAUCCUUGUGGGUGCUAGUUGGGUUUGUAACCCACUGAGCCACAACAGGAACUCCUCUCCACCUUUCUUUGCUGACAAACAUCUUAGUCUGCCCCUGCCACCUCUUUGGAACCCACACACUUCUAGGAAUAUGAACUCAGUAUUAUGCUCAAAGUGUUCUCUUCUUGUCAUCAAGAGCUCAGGGUCUGUAACUCAAAAGAACUCAUCUCAGUUCUUAACCUCUCUACUCUCUCUGCAAUAUGGGGCAUCUUGGCUAGCCACACUGGGAUGGACUGAGUGUGUCCUUCCAAAAUUCAAAUGUUGAAGCCCUAAUCCCCAGUGUGAUGGUAUUUAGACUUAGAUUUUUGGGAGUAAUUAGGUCAUGAGGCUGGAGCCUUCUUGAAUGAGAUUAGUGCCCUUAUAAGAGACUUUCAUAGAGAUCAUCUAUGAAAAGACUUUCAUCUUUUCAUAGAUGAUCUCUCCUUCCACUGUAUAGGAAUACAGCGAGAAGGCAGCCACUUACAAACUAGGGAGAGAGCCCUCACCAAGAACCCAACCAUACCAACACCCUGAUCUUAGACUUCCAGCCUUUAGAACUGUGAGAAAGAAUUGUUUGUUGUUUACCCCAGCUAGUCUAUAGUCUAUAGUAUUCUGUUGUAGCAGCCCAAACAGCCUAAGGCACAUACCUUAAAAUUUCAGUUGAACUUUGUGAUGCUGAGUGCUUCUCUGUUCCUCUGAUUCUUUAUUACUACUAUAAAGACUUGCCCUUUGGUUCUCUUCCUUAUUUCUAAAUGAAGAUUCUCCUUCUUCUUAGUUCUUUCAUUGCACUCCUUGGCUGUAGUCUUUCUGUAAGUGAUUUUAUAUAGUCACAAGAAUUAAAAUAGCACCUUUUAAAGAAUACCGCCAAACCAUGUAUCACUGCAGUGACCUGUCUUGGAUGUGCAUUUUCAAUUGUUUGAUGCAUAUUUUCACCUAAAAGAUGACACAUUGAUUCAAACUUAAACUCAGCAUGAUCGAAACCGAACUCACUUUUUUCUUCUUGUUACUACUUUAGUUCAUUCUUUCAUCACUAGUUAUGAAGAAUACAAUACGUUCCUAACUGAUGCUCUAAUGUUUGGAUAUUCUGUUCAUAAUUUAUAUAUGCGUGGAUAAAUUUAGUAAUGAGAGAUUAUUUUUCAAACUUUGGCCUUGUUUAAAAACAUUCAGUAGCAACUAUUGCCUACUGAAUUAUACCUAGUCAGAAGCUUGCCUUUAAGAUGCUUUACAAUAUGUAUAUGCCAUUUUCAGACUUAUUCUUCUAAAACACUCUACAAAUUCCCUGUGCCACAUAUAAAACUGACAACUCAUGGUUCCAUGGAUGUGCUUUGUCCAUUCUUGUUUCCAUUUCAAUAGACUGACAUGAAAAAAUGGUUAAUAAAUAAUAGAUUACUUUUAAAAUGGAUACUGGUGGAUUCAUCCUGGGUUGAAUCCAUUAACCGACAGAUGAUGUCUUUCUCUAAACUGUCUCUGAAUGUAGCUAAGAAAAAAAUUGAGUGGAGAGGUAUAUAUCUGUUAUAACUUGUUUGUCUUUGAUCAUUGCCAGAUUUUUAUAGUGUAUGUCUUCUCUCCCAAAGAAUGCUGACUGUAAGUUCCUUGUGGACAUGACAUGACUUAUUCUUCUUUAUAUCUUCUAAAAUAUGAAGAACACAUAAUAAAUAUUUCACAUGUAUUUGUUGAAAGGACAUAUGGGUGGUUAAAAAAUGGAUACUGUGCAUUUUGUCCUUUGAGAUAACUUAUCUAUUAUUUAUCAUACAAGCCUGGUUUACCAUUCCAAAUGAAAGCUUUAUGGUAAACAUCUGAAGUCCUAAACAAAUGGAAAUUAAGCUGCUCACAAAUUUAUCUGGUGAUUACAAGUCACUUUGUGAUGCUUUUCCCAUUUUAUCUUCCAGCUUAAUUUUGCUGGAAAGCAUACCUCAUGAAUGGCUCUAGCAAGUUGUGAUGCCAGCUGGGGGAAUUUUGCCGUUUAUAGCACGAGCCAUUUCACAGAUUUUUCAGGGAUUUUUGAGACUGGUGAUACUGCAAAGAUAAUGCGCAUUCUCUAUGUCAAAAGAUGUGAAUUAAUGAGGUGAAGGAAACAUUUAUCUAUUGCAAAUGACCAGGGAAGUUUUGCCAAAUUUCCUCAAGUUGUCUCUUUUCUCUUGGCAUUCACUUGGAAGGAGUAUAUCCUGGUAAUGGGAAUCACAUGUGAUUAAAGAGACCUUCAUGAACUGAUGCAGACCUUCACACGGCUAUAGUCAGGGGUUUGGAGGAUACUGGAAGUUGACUUAAUCUUUGAGACAAAUCUAGAAUAUAUAGGAAAAUGUGAUCAAUGAAAAAUGUGCAACCUCUGUAUGUCCAACGCAAAGUCAUAUGGUAUGUGUGUGUGUGUGUGUGUGUGUGGUUAUCCCUAUGUGAAGUGGUAAUUAAUAUGCUGAAAAUAAAAACCGUUCUAGAGAAAAGUCCUAAAAGCUGACAAAGGCUGUUACCUUUAAAGUAAAAUUCCUGGAUAAUUGAGGAUGUAGACCAUCACUUUGGGAGCUUCUCUUUAUCCUCUGAGUAAGAAAGAAGAGCGUUUCAGGGAUUUGUGCUCUCUAGAUGCUGUGUAUCCACUUAACUAAAAAAUAGACUCUACUUGGGGUCUACAUAAAGAUUUUCUUAUACUUACUCUGCCUUCAACUCUACACAUUUAUGGCAAAGUGGAAAUACUUUUUGCUCUUAUUUCCUAGGCUAAACAGUCCCUUAUCUGGUUCAACAGAUUGACCUCUGGCCUAAAGGGCAAGUGAGACUCUUCAGAUAGUUUUGUCUUGUGGUCUGUUGGAUGCCAUUACUCCCAGGUAGCUAGAGCACAUUCUUUCAUUCUCUUUGGGCCUUGAUUUUGCUCUUUAAAAUUAACUAAUUAAUUAAUCUUCUUUUUAUAGCUGCACCUGCAGCAUAUGGAAGUUCCUGAAUCAGGGAUUGAAUCAGAGCUACAGCUGUGGCCUGCACCACAGCAGCCCUGGAUCUUAGCUGCAUCUGUUGCAGCAACGCUGAAUCCUUAACUCAUUGAGUGAGGCCAGGAGUUGAACCCGCAUCCUUACAGAGACUAUGCCAGGUCCUUAACCUGCUGAGCCACGAGGGAAACUCCUUGAUUUUGCUUUUAUCUGCCUUUUUUGUUCUGUGUCAGAUCUUCCCUCAUCCCACUCUUUACUAUUCCUAUUCUUUCUUCUGCUUCCUUUGUUUUCAUCUGUACAAAUUUGAGAUGCCUAGAAGUUAAUGUGGCUUGUUAAAUAUUCUCUGCACAGAGCCUGGAGAAAAGUGCUGUAUAUAUCAGGUAUAUAAUGAUAAGGAAUCAAAUUCUGCUCUGUACUUUUGCCUCUUUCUGGUAGUAAGUUAUGUAAUAAUGUUAUAAAUGAUCAAUUGGCAGCCUGGUGGGGUGAAUGUACUUCUCUGAGUGCCUCGUGAACACCCUGGGAAUGGCUUAGGUAUGAGGAAGAAUAUAAACUAAUAAUACAUGCCAGCUCUGAUUCCUUUGAGAAUUCAUGUCCUGAGAAAUUUCAAUGGAACAAUCUAAUUUUUUCAUCCACAAUAGUGUUUGAUUUGCAUUCAAGGAGGGAUAUUUUCCUGUCUGGCUACUUAGGGAUGGAGUUCAGAGUCAGAAAACAUUUUAUAUCCUUAGGUUUUCUUCAUUGCCUAUUAACAGUGAAUACUCACUAAGUUCAUGGCACUGCUUGGAAGGAGAGCUGAGUUAAGAUCAAAACCAGGCUGGCUGGUGCCUUUGAGAGCCACUACAGCCACAAACACUGCAAGUGUCCCUUGCCGGGAACCCAGCUAAGGAAGGACUCCUCUGAGAUAGCUACUAUCCUGAUCUGCCAAAUUGCAUGUACAAAAAAGAAAAGCUUAUUACCUGUCGUUGGAGAAUGACAACUAGAUAUGAUAGCAUUGAUAAUACCAAAUCCCAAAGAGAUGGACAGUACACUUUUUUUUCCUGUAAAUUGUUUAUAAUUUUAUUGAAACAUAUUAUGCUCACUUAAAAACAAUGUCAUAGUCCUAACAAAUCUAAGAGAAUAAACACCUUAUAAAGACUAAGGAAAGUAGGAUCUUCAUGGACUACAACUAUCAAAGGAAAACCUCAUGGAGAUGGUUGAAG